Molecule: ribosomal RNA, 1219 nt
Filed under: uncultured phototrophic eukaryote
Lineage: Eukaryota
Description: bacterial SSU rRNA
Rfam family: Bacterial small subunit ribosomal RNA
Source: RNAcentral
AACACGUAAGAAUCUACCUUUCGGUUGGGGAUAACUUCUGGAAACGGGAGCUAAUACCCAAUACGCUGUGGAGUGAAAGGAAUUUCGCCUAAAGAUGAUCUUGCGUCUGAUUAGCUAGAUAGUGUGGUAAUGGCGCACUAUGGCGACGAUCAGUAGCUGGUCUGAGAGGAUGGACAGCCACAUUGGAACUGAGACACGGUCCAAACUCCUACGGGAGGCAGCAGUGGGGAAUUUUCCGCAAUGGGCGAAAGCCUGACGGAGCGACGCUGCGUGAAGGAUGACGGCCUGCGGGUUGUAAACUUCUUUUCUCGAAGAAGAAUAAAUGACGGUAUUCGAGGAAUAAGCAUCGGCUAACUCUGUGCCAGCAGCCGCGGUAAGACAGAGGAUGCAAGUGUUAUUCGGAUUGAUUGGGCGUAAAGCGUCUGUAGGCGGUUUGGAAAGUCUUUUGUGAAAUUCUUCAGCUCAACUGGGGGUCCGCAAAAGAAACUUCUAGGCUUGAGGGAAGUAGAGGUACAGGGAAUUUCCGGUGGAGCGGUGAAAUGCGUAGAUAUCGGAAGGAACACCAAUAUGGCGAAGGCACUGUACUGGGCUUUACCUGACGCUAAGAGACGAAAGCUGAAGGAGUGAUUAGGAUUAGAUACCCUAGUAAUUUUAGCCGUAAACGAUGGAAACUCACUGCCGAGCCGGUAUUCGGAGCGGUGGUCAAGCUAACGCGUGAAGUUCCCCGCCUGGGGACUACGCAUGCAAAUGUGAAACUCAAAGGAAUUGACGGGGACCCGCACAAGCGGUGGAGUAUGUGGUUUAAUUCGAUGCAACGCGAAAAACCUUACCAAGGUUUGAAAUCAUUUCAAAACUCUUUGAAAGAAGAGCCUCCUUCGGGAUGGAAUGACAGGUGGUGCAUGGCUGUCGUCAGCUCGUGUUGUGAAAUGUCAAGUUAAGUCUUGUAACGAGCGCAACCCAUGUCUUUUGUUGCUGUUUACAGUGCUUAAAAGAGACUGCCGCUCUACAGCGGAGGAAGGUGUGGAUGAUGUCAAGUCAGCAUGCCCCUUAUAUCUUGGGCUACACACGUACUACAAUGGUAGGGACAAUGAGUCGCAAACCUGCGAAGGCUAGCCAAUCUCAAAAACCCUAUCUCAGUUCGGAUUGUACUCUGCAACUCGAGUGCAUGAAGGUGGAAUCGCUAGUAAUCGCUGGUCAGCAUACAGCGGUGAAUACGUUC